RNAcentral lists this ribosomal RNA (460 nucleotides) under uncultured bacterium. RNAcentral's name for it is "partial 16S ribosomal RNA". It matches the Rfam family "Bacterial small subunit ribosomal RNA", at positions 338 to 795 of the family's 1533-position model. The record is from RNAcentral.
CCUACGGGUGGCAGCAGUGAGGAAUAUUGGUCAAUGGGCGUAAGCCUGAACCAGCCAAGUCGCGUGAGGGAUGAAGGCCCUAUGGAUCGUAAACCUCUUUUAUAAGGGAAUAAAGUGUGGGACGUGUCCUAUUUUGUAUGUACCUUAUGAAUAAGGAUCGGCUAACUCCGUGCCAGCAGCCGCGGUAAUACGGAGGAUCCGAGCGUUAUCCGGAUUUAUUGGGUUUAAAGGGUGCGUAGGCGGGCUUUUAAGUCAGCUGUGAAAGUUUGUGGCUCAACCAUAGAAUUGCCGUUGAAACUGGGGGGCUUGAGUAUGGUAGAGGCAGGCGGAAUGCGUGGUGUAGCGGUGAAAUGCUUAGAUAUCACGCAGAACCCCGAUUGCGAAGGCAGCCUGCCGAGCCAUGACUGACGCUGAUGCACGAAAGCGUGGGGAUCAAACAGGAUUAGAUACCCGGGUAGUC